This 16929-nucleotide long non-coding RNA is filed under the name Daucus carota (carrot). Its description in RNAcentral is "long non-coding RNA (DCAR_LNC003258)". The record is from RNAcentral. Lineage: Eukaryota; Viridiplantae; Streptophyta; Magnoliopsida; Apiales; Apiaceae.
ACAAACAAUGUGAACUAUACUUAUAAAGGUGAAGCGAGGGACGUGUAAGUGGCGUCUCUCACAUCGCUACGUUCUGAUUUUUCUAAUUUUCUGAAAUUUUUGGAUGAAAAAUAUCAAAAAUUAGAACUAUCUUUCUUAUUUUCAUAGGCUCUGUGCUGUUGCACUUGUUGCACUCCCUUAAAACCGGCCUUGUAUACAGUGUUCUGAAAAUUUGCACCAUUCUUCAGUCUCUCCCAAAUCUUAUACCUGGCAUAAAAGAACAGGCAAUCAGCACCAUAGCAAUAAUACAUAAAUGGAGAGAAUAAUUCAGUAGCAAAUUCACCAAAGUCUGAAAGUCGUCCCCCUUCUUUCUUAUUAAAUGGAGCCGACGUUUGAUGGGGCAAUUUGUGACAGAGCACGUGAAACUGAAAAAAUAUUAGAAGCAGCUGGACGGUUUCAUAGUAUACAAUAUACAUAGUAGCAUAAUGUGGCUGCUAAGCUGGUGCUGAUGUGGAAUAAAAUUUUCCAACAGAAGUUGCUGUAUCGGAUUUAUAGUAAAUAAUAGAUUCCGGAACAACUUGGACAAAGAUGUCCACUUCUCAAUCUUAGUACAGAAGACCAAUAUUCACAAAUUUUAAGAAUUUUAAAUUUUAAUUAUGCUAUCGAUUGCAAACUAAAAAAUUCACUAUUUAGUCUAUGUUUGGCUUCACGGUAAACAGAGCAGAGAAUACAUUGAUUAUCAGGCAGACUUGUUUAAUGAAACAUUUAGGAGUAAGGAAUAAAAGAAACCAGUGAAAAGAUGCAUAUGGAACUUUAACGUCAAACCUCGCUUUCAAUAAGACAAUUUCCCCUUCAUUCCAUCAACAGCAAGGGAAUAGAACUCCAAAUCAGUGAAGUGUUUGUUAUAAAAUGGUAAUAUUGCAUGCAGGAGGUAUUCUGAUGUACUCCGCACAAAGAAGCAGCCUACAUAAAAAAAAUUGUUGAUACAAAGGAGGAAAUUUGAUCCAGCAUUUUUUUAAAAUGUAUUAAGCAAAUACAACUUUUCAAGCAAAUGGGGAGCUACAACAAAAAUAAAAGCCACUUAUUCAAAACAACUGAAAGUCAAACGACAUUCAGAAGUAGAAGAAUAUUUAGCUGGGAAUGCCUUUAAGAAAGAAAUUGAGUAGGAUAAAGGAGAUCAAGGAGUCGAUAACUAGGAUGAAUUAUGGCUUCUUCAAAUUACUAACCACCUUCAACACAAUCUUUACAAAACUAACCACCCAAAUUUUCAAUUCACAAAACUAACCAUCCUAAUUCAUUCACACCUCGGGCGAACAUGGUUAGUUGAAAAAAAAUUUGUAAACCCUUGGCUCGGGCAAACAUGACAUAAAAACUGUUAUAUGUUCGCCCCAUCCACGGACGGACAUAACACGGGCAGACAACCAAGCUCCACUUUCACAUUGUUUUUGAACUUUCCUUUUGCAAAGAAACAGCCAGCUAAACAUUAAAACUAGGGUAUCUUUUACCGGUCUUAUAAUAUUAAAUGAAAAUAAUAUUAUAUAAUAUCAAAUAAUAUUAUUAUCAAAGUACUAUUAUAUAUUUUGAGAUUAUAAUAUAAUAAUAAUUUAUUUUUGAAAAGCAAAAGCAAAAUAUAAAUAAUAUAUUUUUGACAUUAUAAUAUUUUGACAUUAUAAUAAUAUAUUUUGAUAACAUAAUAUAUAAUAAUAUAUUUUUAUAUUAUAAAUACAAUAAUAUAUUUUGGUAAUAGAAUGUAGAAUAUAAUUUUUAAUAGUAUAUUCUGAUAUUAUAUCAUAAUAUCAAAAUAUAUUAUUAUAUCAUUAUAUAUUAUUAUUUUGAUAUAUUAUAUUAUAAUAUAAUAUUAUUUGAUAUUAUAUAAUAUUAUAAUAUAAUAUUAUAAUAUAAUAUUAUUAUAAUAUUAUCUCGUAAAAGUAAAUUACCCUUUAAAAAAUCAUAUCGCUCUUAAUUUUUCAGCUUUUUUUUUCGGUUUAUACAAUUUUUGAAGCUCACAAGACAACUCUCAAAAUAAUAUUAUUUGGUAUUAAUACAUCAAAUUUACAUUAUAUUGUUAUAUUAUAUCACAUUAUCAUAUUAUAUUAUAUUAUAAUAUUAUAAUCAUUAUAUAAUAAUAUAUUUUGAUAUUAUAAUAUUAUAAUCAUUAUAUAAUAAUAUAUUGUGAUAUUAAUGAACUGAUGUCAAAUAAUACUCCAUUCGUCCCUCUUUAGCUGUCACUUUGACUUUUUGCACGUAAUUUAAAAUGAUUAAAAAACAUACUUCCAUUUAUUAAUUUUAAGAUAUAAAUUAUAAACUUUAAUUCAAAAAAAAAAACUUUUAGAAAAAUAAAAGAAAGUAGAAAAUAUCAGUCAACUCUGAAGUAGAACUAAAAGGGAAUUUGAGGGAGAACAUGAAUCUUACAAAACUCAAAACUCCCGAUAUAAUAACUCAGUGUGUUCGCCCAAACCUGGGGCGGACACACUAUCAUUGCCCAAGUGUGUUCGCCCGGAUGUGGGGCGUUUUAAGUUUUUCUUUGCCUUCUGUGUUCGCCUGAGGGGUAAAUGAUUUAGGGUGGUUAGAUUUGUAAAACGAUCGCCUGAGGGGUAAAUGAUUUAGGGUGGUUAGAUUUGUAAAACGAUCGCCUGAGGGGUAAAUGAUUUAGGGUGGUUAGAUUUGUAAAACGAUCGCCUGAGGGGUAAAUGAUUUAGGGUGGUUAGAUUUGUAAAACGAAAUUUUAGAUAGUUAGUUUUGUAAAGAGUGCGUUCAGGGUGGUUAUAAAUUUGAAGGAGCCGAUGAAUUAUUAUACAGUCUUGAAAAAGAUGACUCAACUAUAACUGCAGAGGGAAAAAACGGCUUUCACUGGCCUCUGUACUACCCAAUUACCAUCAUGCCAAAUGUGAAGUACCAUUAUAUCAUAAUUCAGUACACAAAAAGGAGGAGACAGAUAUUAGUUUACCAUACAUCAAUUGACUUACAUUCAAAAAGAAGCGAAAAUAUGCAAAUACCACAGGAUACAGAAGGCAGUAUUUACAUAUUAUCUUUCUGUAGAAGGCGAUUCAAGGAUAAAUACAUAUUCUAUUAUCACCAUUUUCUCCCAGCUAUCUUGAACUAAGAAGCUACUAAACCGAAACUUAAAAAAGAAAAAGACGGCUCUCCUGGUAUAGCAGUUACCUGAAGGCUGAAAUGGAGCAAAGAGUUAUAACAUUAAUCGAGAAGUAUUCCAUAAUCAAACCAGAGAACUGUUUUGAGUUUCUACUACUUCUCUGCAGAGACAUGUUUUAGUUCCUUCUCCUAUCCCUACACCAAGAAAAUUUUAUUGUUAACAUAUAGUUCUUACAACAAAAGUAAUUUUAACUGUCGUAAUAUAUAAUUACUUAAUUCUCCAGCAUUUUAUAAUGUUAUGCGUGACCCAAAUGAUUACACAGAACGCAUUGGACAUGUAACUUACAACUGCUACCAGAUAAAGCAUUCGAACUAUAUGAUGCAAAUCAAUCUUGCUCUUAUUCACUAAUUUCUUAUGAUGUGAGAUGUUACGGGUUGAGAUCAAGGCAUCGAGCUACAAGUUACCAGAUUCUCUUGAGAUUCUUUUGCUCCACUUUCCUAUUUCUAUUAUCUAUACAAAUAACAGCCAAGUAAUCCUACCUAUAUCUCUUAAGCUAGUCAUCUAAUUUACUGGUCUCGGUCAAUAAGGAGUUUUUACAAUGAACAAAAAUCCCAAAGGGACUAUUUGGGAGCAAUCUAAAAGGUUUGGAAGCCCAACAUAUAAAAGACUCUGGAAAUAGUUAAUAAUUAUACUAAUUAUCUUGUUUGUUUCUCUACGUAAAAAUACUUAUCCCUAGUAUUACGCUAUUAGCAGAACCCCAGUCCCCCUCAGACACUCUGCAUAAUAGUACAAAAUUCAAAACGAAAUUGAAGUAAAACCUAAAGAACAAUUCAUACCAUUUAAUUAAUGAGAAAUAGGUGGGAAAUGACAAGUCGCUCGAUUGCAGAUGACACAGACAAAAAAAACCCAUAUAUAUUGAGAAAGUAAAGGCUUAUAGGCCAUUGUCUAUGAAACUUUGAGUACCUGGAAACCUUCGGUCGUCAAAAAAUUUCUUAUUGCAAGUGCUUCUGUUGCUUCUUGCUAAGACAAAUCCAAGAGAUGGUCAAGUGAGACCUUUACAGAACAUUACACUUGUGCAUAGUGAGCACAAUCAAGCUUAUUGGAAUACUGAAAAAUGAGUACAUGUUAUACUCAAGAAAAAAAGAAGCACCCUGUACAAUAAUAUAUUGGAAAUUGGAAGAAAGAUUUAAGAAACAAAACUCAAGUUCACUUAAGUUUCUUCAUCAUAAAAACUAAGCUCGACUGUAUAGGCCCUGCCUAGACUGAACAAGUCUAUACAGCUUUGAUUUUGUUAGGCAUGCUAAGCGAACAUUAUGUCACAGCUUAAUAGGUCCAUAAAAGUAAGGGUCCCAUCCAAGUAAGGCACCAAUAGAAUGAAGAACAAAAACAAAUUCUCUAUCAUGCACCUUUGCUAUUACUUAACUCUUUACAACAGCUAUUGUCUUUACCCUAGAUGAAAAUGUAGAAGAUAUGAGUAGGAACAAUUUUAUAGACAAUGAAGUAAAAAGAACACAGACAUGUCAAACAAUCUACUUUUAGCUCAUAAUAACCGAGAAUCAAGACUUGCACAGCAGAAAAGGCAUUGAAAUCAACAAUAUCAAGAUAAAUAUAUACAUCGUUUUUAAGUCAUUCGACUACAACCCCGUGAAAUAAAUUCUAGAUUAAAGGCUAAAAUUUCUAAAGAUCGUAUCCGUCAUUAUGGAGUUCCCUAUACAGAGCCACAUAAAGGCCUGGAUAGACGAAAUGGGUGAUCAAGGUGUCAAGGAAACUCAAUUGUCGAAAAUUCUCAUCGGAUACAUAACUGUCAUCAAUUCUGUAAGUUCUUUUUUUGAAAUUGGUAUUCAUCCAAAAACUCUCUGUGAGGUGCCUAUAACAGCUUGCAAUGAAUUUGACUAAUAAGCCUCCCUGAAUCCACUUUUCCAAUGCAGCAUCUCCUCCAUAAUUACGGCGCUGCCGAGAACUACUUUGAGUUGUUGCUGUUGUGAGACUAAAACUCGAUAUUUUGUUUAUCAGUUCAUCUUCUUUCUUUUGGUGAAAAUUUCGAACUUCCUCUAAAGGAACGUGCCCACGGAUCCGCUGCUCCCAUGAAUCUGUGUACAACUCAGCCUUGGUGCAUCUGCUAAUAGCUUUGUAAACCAUUGCAGCAAUCUCAGGAGACCGAUUAGAAAUCAUUGUUGACAACUUGACAAAUGAUAACAACCUGUGCUCCCAAUUUUUGAGGCAGGGAUGUCCCCGACAAUAUGCCAAUUCCCCUUUCUUGAUAGCUAUCCGAAAAUCUUCCCAUUCAACAUCCAAAUGAUGCCCCUCCAAUAUAUGCUUGUAAAUCACAAACAUAAUCGCCUUGUUACGCUUAGCUGGGCUAUCCGUGAGAUGACGUUUUUGUUGUGGAUGAGUUACUUUGUGAACAAUUUUUAUUUUAAUUUCAGGAUCAUAAUCUUUAUGCAGCAAAGAGUUUUUGAAACGGUGCCCAGGAGGUGAAAUGACAAGAUAGUUCUCAAGCAUAUUUAAACCAAGAUGCUCUUCAGAACCUAAUUCUAUAUAAGCAUCUAUAACUGCUCGCACUAAUUGCCUAGCAUAAUCACGCACAAUCAAUAUUUCAUCACCAUUUUUCAUAACAAAUUUCUUCACCGCAGUCUUCUUACCAUCAGCGCCUUUAUCUUCAACACAAUCUUUUAGAGUUUUAUCAUAUUUGUGAACACUUAAACAGAAAUUCGAAUCAUUGACAUCAUUAAGCGAAUAUUCAUGCUUUGCGGUGAUGAUUUGAAAAACAGGAAAGUCGAGUGGUUCUUCUUACCAUCAGCGCCUUUAUCUUCAACACAAUCUUUUAGAGUUUUAUCAUAUUUGUGAACACUUAAACAGAAAUUCGAAUCAUUGACAUUAUUCAUGCUUUGCGGUGAUGAUUUGAAAAACAGGAAAGUCGAGUGGUUUAAUAGUAAAAUUACCACCAAAUUUAUGAUUUAAAAAAGGACCUGGCUUCUGGACGGGAAACACUUCAUCACCAUCGGGGAACGCUUCAUCAGCGUCAUAAAACUUGUCUUCAGAGAUUUGAGAAGAGGAGGAGCUUGACAUUGUAAGGUGUUUGCAGAUUGUGAGGCGGGACAGCGGUGCAGAUGAAGGUUGAGUAUUAUGACUAGGGUUGAGUGUUUCGUUGCUUUCUGGCUUCUUGCUUCGAAUAGGUAGAUAAAGAUUUAUUUUUAUUUUUUUUGAAAUCGGUAGAUAAAUAUUUUAAAUACACUUCAAUUUUAUAUUUUAAAGAAUGAUUACUAAUACAACCUUCAACUUGAUAACACUAAACUAACUUGUCUUCAAACUGGCUACAUUAAUUAUCUUGUUGACCGGAAAUUUUCUGGAAUGAUCGAGAAAAUAAAGUUCAUGAAAUAAGUUUGUCAAAUUGAAUUUUCCUGUUGCUUUUUUUUAAUUAAUUAUUAUUUACAUCAGUAAUCUUAUCGUAUCGUUUUAUCAAAUAAAUGUAAUACUGAUUAUAUAUAUAACAUUUUGCUUUAACUAAUAUUACUCGACAUUGGGUUUAGACAUAUCGCGGUCAUUUUCUUCGACUGUAUUUUCUCCAACUGUUAUAUUUAAGACAUUAUUUACUCAAAUUAUGAAUUAUGAUAUUCGGACCAACAUCUCAUAUCUUUUAUCAUCAUGAAACAAUAAGAAAAUGAAUAACAACAUAAGUAACAUAAUAAUAUAUAUUAAUUAAAUUAUUGAAGUAUGUCAUAAUUAAGAAAUAAUUCUCGAUAUUCUAAUAGCAUUUGAUUUGGAAGAAUAAAUUUUUUUGUAAAUUUAUUUAGGUUGAUAGCAACUGAAAUAAAAUAAUGAAAGAAAAUAAAAUAUAAAACAUAAUACUCCCUACGAUCUUUUAUGUUAGUCUCUUUAACUUUUUGCACGUAUUUUGAGGUGCCAAACAAUGUAUAUUUAUAUAUUAUUUUUCAAAAUUUCUAUUUUUGAAUAAAAAUAUGUUAAACUUUUAUUCAAGGAAAAAAAAAUUGAAAAAUAAUAAGUAAAAGUAUAUUUUUUUAUACACCUCAAAUUACGUGCAUAAAAUCAAAGCGACUAACAUAAAAAAAUGAAGGGAGUAACUCAAAAUCAAAUAAAGAGCAAAAGUAGUUUAAAUUUAAAAAGAAAAAAACAUAAAUAAAUCGCAUGUACCGUGUAUUUGGAGUAAAUUAGUGCAAUCAAUCUUAAUUUAAGUGAUUGAGAGAAUUACGUAUAAUAAAUACUCUGAUUUAAGCCCUCAUUUGAUUCAUUCAAGGAGUAAAACUGUAAAAAUAAAUUUCGUAAACUGUACAAAGUAAAAAUGUAGUGUCUUUAGCAAUAUUUAAUCGAUAUAUUACAUAUAAAUUUUUCUAAAACUCAAGUUAUCUCACGUGUAUAUCAUUGGUCCUGUGACUUUUAUAUAUUAUCACGUUAAGUAAAAAAAGUGAAGUGUAUUUAGCAAUACUCACGAUAUAUAUUACAUAUAAAUGUUUCUAAAACUAAGUUAUCACGCAUGUUAUAUCAUUAGUCUUGUGACUUUUUUUUUGAUAAAUGAAGCAAAAGUAGUUUAAAUUUAAAAAGGAAAAAACAUAAAUAAAUCGCAUGUACUGUGUAUUUGGAGUAAAUUAGUGCAAUCAAUCUUAAUUUAAGUGAUUGAGAGAAUUACGUAUAAGCAAUGCUCUGAUUUAAGCCCUCAUUUGAUUCAUUCAAGGAGUAAAAUUGUAAAAAUAAAUUUCGUAAACUGCACAAAGUAAAAAUGUAGUGUCUUUAGCAAUAUUUAAUCGAUAUAUAUAUCACAUAUAAAUUUUUCUAAAACUCAAGUUAUCACAGAUGUAUAUCAUUGGUCCUGUGACUUUUAUAUAUUAUUACGAAUAAUAUCUCACUACGGUAAAUAAAAAAUGAAAUGUAUUUAGCAAUAUUCACGAUAUAUAUUACAUAUAAAUGUUUCUAAAAUUAAGUUAUCACGCAUGUUAUAUCAUUAGUAUUGUGAUUUUUUUUUUUUGAUAAAUGAAGCAACACCUCGUAUGAAUUUUAUACCAGGGAAAAAAAUAUACAAAUAGAGGACUCCUCUAAAACAAAUCCUCUAAAAACACACUCAAAGAGGCUCAAGCAACUACUCCAACAGAAAUAAAAGAAGAAAAGAGAAAGAAAAGAUCCAGAACAAAAAAGAGUAGCACCCUGCACAACCAAAAAAAUACCACACUUGCGAAGCCCAAAUCAAGCCACAAGCACUCAGCCCAAACGAAAACACCCUGGGCCCAAUAUUCCACAAAACCCCAUCCUGGCCAGAGAAAAAAAAUCACAGUUGGAUAACAACAGACCCCGGCUCCAUAACACCUCCAAAGCACACCAGCCUGGAACCAAAAAAAAUUCACCAUCACAGCUGAAUUUAAUUUCGACUUAAAAUUAAAUCUAAUCAGACUAACAGCACAAAAAAACUUUAAAGCUUCAGGCCCUCGAAAACCAAUAAAAGAACAUAUAGGCCUCCCAACCGAAUCAUCGCAGCAGCUCAAGAAAAUAUUAUUACGAACAAUAUUUCACUACGGAAAAAAAUAGUAACAAGUGAAAUCAAAAAUAGGCACCAGGUCUAGACCUGACAAAUUUUCACACGACACGAAAACGACACGAAAAUUUAGUGUUUUAAUUAAGAUUAUCUCGGCAAUCUAUUAUUAACAACUUCUUCUCAAUUAAUAUAUAUACAUAUAGACACACACAAUCUUACUCCAAUACAAACUCAAUUAUCCUAUGAACCAAAAAUCACCAAGUACAUCCCAAUUUUACUAUAUCCACUCCACAAUUGCUACCUGCACUCCAAUACAUUGACUUCAUAUUCUUUCUAUUUUCCAUUGCUCAAGGGCGCACUACUGACGUGACAGGACCAGUGCUGACGUGACGGGGCAGCUGAUGUGGCGGUUGACACGUCAGCACUUUGCUAACGUGGCAAUCUGGGUGGCCUUAGUGAUAACGUGGCGUCUUGGUUGCCCUGAUGAUGGCGUGGCAGUCUAAGUGGUUCCUACUACUGACGUGUCGAUUUGAGUGGCCCCCAAUACUAACGUGGCAGCUGAUGUGGCAGGGUGACGGUGUGGUUUGAGAUUUAACAUAAUAAAAGCAUUUUUCAAACCGUACUGCACUGCAAUUUUCUAAUGUAUAAAAAUAUAUUAUUUAUAAUUACAAGCUUGAGAGAGUUUGGAGCAGCCACCACCCAUCCAAAUCUCUGCUUAUAUAUAGAGAUAGAUGUUCCUAACUUGUUUAACAAAUCAACUCUCCAGCUCUUAGCUGUAUUUCAUAACAAAUCAAACUUCCUACUCUGACAUACAUUUCAAACCCCAAAAUAAACCUAUACCUAAAUUAUCUUCCUCUCAUCUUGCAAACUUGGCAACAUAGAAGUGUUAUGAGAAGUCCGAUGAGAGCAUCAAACUUCCAAAUAUAUGCACUAGUAGAAUGCUGAGUACUGCAAUAAGCAACAAAUAGUAAAUAGACAGUCUGCUGCCACCUUUGUUUCUUGUUAGGUCUCUCUUCAAAAGUUCCUGAUCAGAAGAGCAAAAUAUUUCAGAAAAAUAUGUGAGAAUAACCACAUAGAAUAACAAGGGGAUAUGAAUAAUAUCAGAACCAAGAACAAAAUACAUUUCUUUUGAUCUACAUACAUAAAAUUCUUCUGGACCAAAUAUUUCCCCAAAACAAAUCUGGAAAAAACAAUAUGCAAAAACCUUUCACGCCAGGAAUCGAACUGUAUGAAUGUCACUAAUAUUAUUCAAAUUCUAUGUUUUGAUUUAUUUUUCCUGCUUUAUAUCAAACAUAAAAACAGGUGGAUGCUUUCUCAAAGAACAAAGUGUGUUAAUUCUUUCACCAUAAAUCCUAUUCAGUUCAUAAGGUUCUUGCAAGACUAGCAUAGACAAAUUGCGAGACGAAAAAGAGGCAUAAGCUUAUCUCUCAAAAACCAUGAAACCGUAUAUUAUGGUUUUUCGUCUGCAGGUAGAGCUUGGAAAAGCAAGCAUCAAAGUCCAGAAGACUUAGAAAUGGAACUAUUCAGCAUAUUUUGACAAGAAAUAGAAAGAACAAAUCCUCAGCAACACACAACAACAAAAAUAAUAACAAUUAUUUUUGUGUCUUACCACUUCCUCUUUAAGCCUACUAUUAAUAUCUUGGAUAAUGGACUGCUUCUCCUCAGUAAGCAUUAACAUAAUAUCUUUAACCUGGAAAACGCAAAAAGAACAAAAAAAAUCACGAGAAGGAAAACGAAUUCCUAUCUUGUCUAUUUCGGUAACAUUGAGGGAAUCACAAUUUGUGGUGAAAACAAGUAUAAGUAGCAAACAGAAUUUACUAAGAAACGAUACAUAACAAGCCAGAAGGUGAAAUAAUAGAACUUAGGGCACACUGCAGUUGUACAUUACUUGCUUCAAUAAAACACAAUAAAUAACCAAGAAAAAAAAAGCUACUCAGAAGAGUUUAGAUAGCCAAUUUAGCAGCAGAGAGCUCCUUCGAGGGGGUUAAUAUCAGCUAACUCAUUAUCUAAAACUUCAAAGAUUAGAACAACUAAGAUGAUAUUUAAGAUUUCAAUUAAAAUAUUUUGUAUCUAGUUCUGACAAAGUUCUGACAUAUUGCAGUACUUACUCUUAAUGUACAAGCUAAAAUGAUAUUUAGGAUUUUGUAUGCAACAAGAAAUCCUAUUGUUAAUUUUACAAUUUUUAUGAUUCUUCAAUCUAGUAGUCCACAGUUCACAUCCUCUAAACUUUUCGAAGCCCGACUGAAAUCUGCAGGAGUUUUCUACCAACAGACAAAAACAGAACAAUGCUAUAAAGUUAGCAUAAUUAAUGUUAGAAAACUAACAAGUGAUCAACUAUUAUAAUAAUAUUUAAUAUUUAAUACAUAAAUAAGUAAAUAAAUAACCAUAUGCACCCUGGUUCCAUAAAAUGGAUGGUGGCUACUUCACUGACAGCUGAGCUGCCUAAACCAACAUCCAUAUAAAGAAACACUCAAUAUCAGAUGUCCAUUAUCCACUGAUUAAAUCUCAAUACUUGUAUUUUAAUCAACUAAAUCAAGCUAUGAACAAAGUUUACAAACAAACCAAUCAAUGUAGAUCACGAAACAUUUAGUAUACAAGAAACUAUUGUCGUGAAUAAAUGUAUAAUUCUGUGUUAUUUUCGUUAACCUCGGCAUAGUCUAUCACAUAACUGUACAAGGACCAAGAAAACCCCUGUGCUCGUUCUCGGGUUCAGUUUUAAUUUUUCCAAAUUUAAAUCCUCCUUGUUAUUGUAGUAAAAAGUAGUGUAACCCUCCAACCUACUGUAGGAUUUCAAUUCCCUUGCCAAUAUUUUUCUCCCCAAACGAGAUAGCGUUAGUAGAAUUUGUGUAGUACUAACAUUGGGUAAAUCUCCAAAAGAAGAAUGUGUUUUUUAAAUCCUGAAUCCAAUUCAGUUCAUAGGGUUCCCCAAAUGAGAGAAGAUGGGUAGAAUUUGACAUUCAGUAAAUGUCUAACCUAUAGAAGAAAAAGUGCUUUUUUAAUCCUAAAUAACAUCCAGUACAUAAGAUUCUUGCAAGACUAGCACAUACGAACUGCGAGGGAGGGGCCAAAAAAGAAGUUGAGGGUAUUCUCACACCUAAUAUUGUUGCAAGCGAAAGGAAAAAGUGGCAAAAGCUUAUCUCUCAAGAACUAUGAAACCUUAUAUGUUGGAUUUUUUAAUCUCAUGGUACAGCAUAAAAAUUGCCAGCAGGCCCAGCGCCAAAGUCCAGAAGACAUUAAAAAUGAAGCUAUCCAGCAUAUUUUAUCAAGAAACUGGAAACAAAUUCUCAAUAACAUUCAGCAACAAUAAUAAUGAUUUUAGCUCUCACCAGUUUGUCUUUAAGCUUUGCAUUCUCUUGGAUAAUCAACAGCUUCUCGCUAGUAAACGUUGAUAUAAGAGCUUUAACCUGGAACACGUAAAAACACACCAUGACAUAUUAUCUAAUCUUGUCUAAGACUGAGGAGCCAUAAUUUGUAGUGAAAACAAGUCCAUAGAGCAAAACCGGAGUUUACAAAGAAACGAUUCAUAGCAUGGUGAAAAGAACUACUAAGUAACAUGUCAGGGAAGAUGACUAAACGAGUUGCUCGAUAUAUGAGAUAAAAGACAAGGGCAGAGUUGUAAGAUCUGGACUGAAAGUUAUAAAUCGAAAGAAAUGUAGAUAAAGAUGGAAGAGAGAUGAUGGUGAUAUUCAUACAUGUGUGUAUGCAUUUGCAGCAACUGGGGGUUGGUGCAGAAGUGGGUUAAGUAGUGUACAAGGUAUAUGUGGUGGAUAUUUGGUUCGUAGUCUGUACACUAAUUUAGUUUGUAUUUGAGCACUUAUAUGUACACACACACACACACACACAUAGACUAGUGAUCAGUGUUAUUAAAAGCGCGCAUAUGCGCACGCAUAUGCGAUAUGCGAUGCGAUGCCCACCUAAAGCGCAUCGCUUCGGUGAUGCGAUGCGCCUUCAAUGAUGCGCUCGCUUUUAUGCGCAUCGAGCGCUUAUGCGCUGUUCAAAAGCGAAAAAUAAGCGCGCUUCUUUUAAAAUGAGUCAUUCUUAAAGGAAAUGGGUUCAGAAAUAACCCUGUGGACCUUAUAGUAACUAACAAAAAUAGAUACAGACCAGAUAUAGAUGCAAGAACAAGAGAUAUCGAACCAGAGACAAAAAUUAAACUCAUCUUCUUUUAUGAUUAUUGCAUAUAGAUACCCACAUAUAUAAGAUACACAUAUCUUGUAUACAAUGAUAUAUAUUUAUACUUACAAGUGUUGUAUAUACAAAUAUGACUUGAGUAUGAUGAAGAAGACUUUGUUAAGGAUCCAAAUUAUAUUAGUAAAGAUGAUGAUUUCCUGAAUAUUGAUGAUGAAGAAGUGGAAGAAUGGACUAAGUUUGGAAUUCUUUGCUACUUUGACUGUAGAAGAAUUCGGUUGCUUUAUCAAUUAAAUGUCAUCUUAUCUGUAAAUUAACAAUUUUCUGCUUAUAUAUUAUUUAUAUAUGUAUAUUUAUUUGUCUUCGAUGAAUCCGCGCAUUCCGCGUUGCGCUUAUGCUCUAGGGGGCCUUUGCACUUAUGUGCGCAUAUCACACUUAAUAACACUGCUAGUGAUCAUACAGAAACCUAACACUAAAUAAAACUGGAAACCCCUUAAUUUGUACCACCCACCCCACUUUCCACCUUUCCGUCUCCUGGACAUCACACUGCCAUAAUCAUCCACCGCUACUUUCAUUGCCAUCCACCCCCAAUCACAUCACACCAUCUUCAUAUACCCUGCCUUACCGCCUACCAUCUUCCUCCACCGCCCAUCAUCCGUUCACCACCACCGUCGUUGCUCCCCUUCGUCUUCCUUUCCAACAACCUCCCCCCUCUUUUUUCCCAUUUUUCUCUACACAUGGUAACUACUAUGAAAUCUAAUUGUAAAUUCCAGUACCGUCCAUCAUUAAAGAUGGCUUGAUAGGGGUAAUGAUAUAAUGGCGUAUAUAUGUAUGUAAUAGCUCUGUAUCAAUAUUUAGUGAUUUUUGCAAUAUGAAUCAGGGAUUAUUAUAACACAUAUUAGUGACUUUUGGACUAUCAAUUGGUGAUUAGAGUUUGAAUUUGGCAAUUAUAAUAAUUUGUGAAAAUAAUGGUUUUAUGUGAGGUGUUGAUCAAUAGUCAUCAUUAAUAGCUCGAACCAAUUAUGGUAGUCAGUUAGUGAUCAGAGGUGGUGGUGGUGAUCGAAGAUCCAGUCGUAUAUAUCUUUUUAUUUGAUUAUAAAAACAGAAAAUCACUAAAUAUAAUAAUUAUAAUCAUUGGUUUCUAGUUUCUAGUNACACACACACAUAUAUGACUCAUUUCUAUGUUCACAUCACAGUUAAUUUAGUAUUUGAGUUGGCAAUAUUUUGUAACUUGUUCUUUGGGGUUGUUUAACCAAUCUGUGUGGGUAAAUCACAGACGAGACACACGGAGUUUGGUAGUCUUGGGAAUGUGAUCAUGAUCAUUUGUUUGUUUGUGAACAUGUUCAUACAUUUCACUAAAAUCCUUCUUGUGGAUAACUAAAGAAGGAACUGUUUGCAUUGUGCUUGAGCAUUGUAUAAAAAGCUGUUACUUAUACUUAAGCAUGUUUUGGCAUACCUUUUAUCACAAAAACAGGGACUUAUUUCGGGCAAUUUUUUAUAUUUAUACAAUAAUUUUUAGCUUCAAAUAUUUAAUAUGUAACAUUCCAUAUUUGCGUAAAUAAGUCACUUAUUUUCUGAAAAAAGUACAUAUUAUUACAAAAAGGGUUUGCAAGGCAAUAAUAGAUAUUAUAAAGUUACAAAUUACAGUUGCAAAUAUAACGUGUUAUGCCCUUUAAACUUUUGAUUAUAAUCUUUUGUAUUUGGUUCUCAUAAAGCUCCGACAUUUUAAAUCAAUUACUCUUCACAUACAAGUCGGGACUUGGGAUGAUAUCUAAGAUUUUGUAUUCAGCAAGGAAUCCUGUUGAUUAAUGAUUCUUGCAGUCCACAAUUCAUAUCUUUUAAGGGUAUUCCCAAAUCCUGACUGGAAUCUUCACGUGUUUCAAACCAAAAGCAUAAUUUGUAGUAUUAUCAUUUUAUUAUCAUCAUUACAACAAUAAUGAUAGAAAGAAUAAUCACAUGUACACCCUUGUUCCAUCAAAUUCUCAUUAUAUGCCCAUUGAUUAAAAUCUCAACAGAUGUUUUUUAAUCAACCGAAUCAAGAUAUAAGCAAAGUUUAUGGAUAAUCAAUCAACAUUGAUCACGAUCCACUUAGUAAACAAGAAACUACAUAAUUCUGAGGAGUUAUAGGCCAGCCAUUGACCUUGACAUGGUCUAUCACUUAACUGUGUACUUGGGAGAUGGGACUAGGUAGACCCUAGUGCUCACUCUCCCAAUUUUCAUUUAAUAAUUUUUCCAAUUUUAAAUACUACUUCUAUUGGAGUAAAAAGGAGGGUAAACCCUCCAAGCUACAGUAGGUUUUCAUUCCCUUUCUUCCCGAUAUUUUUCUCCCCAAACCAAAUAGCAUUAGCAGAAAGUAGAAAUUGUGUAGUACAGACAUUAGGUAAACGUCUGAAAGAAAAAGUCUCAUUUCAUUCUAAAUGCCAUUGAGUUGAAAAGGUUCUUACAAGCCUAGCAUAAACGACUUAUGAGGGAGGGGCCAAAAAAGAAGUCAAUUCACACAUGAUAUUAUCACAAGCGAGAGGAAAAAUAGGCAUAAGUACAGCAUAGAGAAAUUGCAAGCAAAGUCCAGAAGACUUCAGAAAGGAAACUAUACAACUACAAUAAUAAUGAUGUUUGGCUCUCACCACUUCAUCCUGGAGCCUUUUACUCCUUGUCCGGGAGGAAUUUGGAUCUUUAGCAAGCAUUGACAUAAGAUCUUUAAACUGGAACAACACAACACACACACACAAAAAAAAAAAAUCUUAAAACACCAGGAGUUAUUAAGUCUAUGUCAGUAACACCGAGGGAACCACAAUUUGUAGUGAAAACAAGUCCAAACAGAAAACUAGAAUUCACUAAGAAACCAUACAUAACAUGGUGAAACAAUAUUCCACCUUUAGGCACACUGUAGAUUAUUUUCUUCACAAAUAUACAAUAAAUAACCUGAAAUAAACAGGCUACUUAGAAGAGUCUAGAUGGCCAAAGCAGACAUGUGCAAAAAAUGGCAUGCACAUAUUAUUGAUAUAUAAAACAAACAAAAAUUUGGUCUAUUUUUUAGUAUAAAAUUAAGCAUAGUGCAGUAGAAGAAGGUUUCUUGGAGGGGGUUCAUAUCAACUAACUCAUAAUCCAAAACUUUGAAUUUUAGAAAAACUAAAUUGCAAUAUACCCCACAAGUAAUAAGUCCACACCACCCUCAUGUUGCACGGUCAGAGGAAGGAGAGAGAUAUAUCUAUUAUAUUUUUAAUUUCUAGAUUUGAACAUUUAAAACAUAACUCAACGAGACAAUAAAGAUUCUCAUCAAUAAGAUUGAAAAAAUACUUUAUUGUUUUUUUUCUGAAGUGAUUAUCACAAAACAGGUUAUGAAUGUCAGCGACUGAUAUCAUAAAAGUACCCAAUUACAAAUGCAAAGUAAGAUGUGUUAUGUUCAGUAUAAUUUUGAUUAUAAUCUUUUGCGUCUAGCUCUCAUAAAGCUCUGGCAUUUUGCAUCAGUUAUAAUAACAUUAGUUAAUCUUAAUGUACAAGUUAGAAUAAGAUGAUAUUAUAUUAUAUUCAACAAGGAACCCUAUAGUGGAGUUAUGAUUCUAGUAGUCCACGAUUCAUAUCCUCCAAGGGCAUUUCUAUGUCCAACUGAAAUCUGCAGGAGUUUUGGACCAACAGACGCAUAACAAACCAGGCUAUAAAGUUAGCAUUACAUGUGUUAGAUAAUUAAGAGCAUCUCCAAUGGCUUAGCACAAACAAAAGAGAGAGAGAGAGAGAGAGAGAGCUUCUCCAAUGUGGUCUGCUAAAAUAUCACAAAACAAUGAGUAGCUAUAAUAAAAUUUGUUGACCCAGGAAGAUGUUGUACUACCAAACCCAUCAGCUAAAAUCUUUGGCUAAAUUUUCCAAAUAGUGUUUUAGUAUUAUUUCAACUUAUUGUAAAUACUAAAAGAUGAAGUGGAUUUUCCUACAGUUCUUUACAGGUUCAGCAUAUAUAGCUAAUAUUAUGGGGUUUGCAUGAUUUUAUCUAAGGGAAAUAUGAAUGACCCAUGGGAGAGAUGUCAUUUUGACUGGUUAUGGAACAAUUGCCACGUAUCUAAUUUAGCCAAGGGUUGCUAUCGUUGAAGAUGCUCUAACAAAGUGACCAACCACAUGCACCCUUGUUCCAUGAGAUAGAUUGUUGUGCAGCUUCACUCAUAAGUUAGCCACCUAAACCAACAUCGGCAUAUAAAAAUACUCAAAAUCAAAAAAUGGCCAUUGUCCGCUGAUGAAAUCUCAAUAUAUGUUCUUU